UACGUAGGGGGCGAGCGUUGUCCGGAAUCAUUGGGCGUAAAGCGCGUGUAGGCGGCUCGGUAAGUCCGGUGUGAAACCUUGGGGCUCAACCCCAAGCCUGCACUGGAUACUGUCGAGCUCGAGUCCGGGAGGGGAGAGCGGAAUUCCUAGUGUAGCGGUGAAAUGCGCAGAUAUUAGGAAGAACACCCGUGGCGAAGGCGGCUCUCUGGGACGGUACUGACGCUGAGACGCGAAAGCGUGGGGAGCGAACAGG
This 253-nucleotide ribosomal RNA is filed under the name uncultured bacterium. RNAcentral's name for it is "partial 16S ribosomal RNA". It matches the Rfam family "Bacterial small subunit ribosomal RNA", at positions 524 to 776 of the family's 1533-position model. The record is from RNAcentral.